GACGAACGCUGGCGGCGUGCUUAACACAUGCAAGUCGAACGGAAAGGCCCUGCUUUUGUGGGGUGCUCGAGUGGCGAACGGGUGAGUAACACGUGAGUAACCUGCCCUUGACUUUGGGAUAACUUCAGGAAACUGGGGCUAAUACCGGAUAGGAUCUCCUGCUGCAUGGUGGGGGUUGGAAAGUUUCGGCGGUUGGGGAUGGACUCGCGGCUUAUCAGCUUGUUGGUGGGGUAGUGGCUUACCAAGGCUUUGACGGGUAGCCGGCCUGAGAGGGUGACCGGCCACAUUGGGACUGAGAUACGGCCCAGACGCCUACAGGAGGCAGCAGUGGGGAAUAUUGCACAAUGGGCGGAAGCCGGAUGCAGAGACGCCGCGUGCGGGAUGACGGCCUGCGGGUUGUAAACCGCUUUCGCCUGUGACGAAGCGUGAGUGACGGUAAUGGGUAAAGAAGCACCGGCUAACUACGUG
RNAcentral lists this ribosomal RNA (468 nucleotides) under uncultured bacterium. RNAcentral describes it as "partial 16S ribosomal RNA". It matches the Rfam family "Bacterial small subunit ribosomal RNA", at positions 28 to 507 of the family's 1533-position model. The record is from RNAcentral.